AACGAACGCUGGCGGCAGGCUUAACACAUGCAAGUCGAACGCCCCGCAAGGGGAGUGGCAGACGGGUGAGUAACGCGUGGGAACGUGCCCUUCGCUUCGGAAUAGCCCCGGGAAACUGGGAGUAAUACCGGAUACGCCGUAUUGGGAAAGAUUUAUCGGCGAAGGAUCGGCCCGCGUUGGAUUAGCUAGUUGGAGGUGUAAUGGACCCCCAAGGCUACGAUCCAUAGCUGGUCUGAGAGGAUGAUCAGCCACGCUGGGACUGAGACACGGCCCAGACUCCUACGGGAGGCAGCAGUGGGGAAUCUUGGACAAUGGGCGCAAGCCUGAUCCAGCCAUGCCGCGUGAGUGAAGAAGGCCUUAGGGUUGUAAAACUCUUUCGCCGGAGAAGAUAAUGACGGUAUCCGGAGAAGAAGCCCCGGCUAACUUCGUGCCAGCAGCCGCCGUAA
This 446-nucleotide ribosomal RNA is filed under the name uncultured bacterium. RNAcentral's name for it is "partial 16S ribosomal RNA". It matches the Rfam family "Bacterial small subunit ribosomal RNA", at positions 29 to 523 of the family's 1533-position model. The record is from RNAcentral.